CUGCGAAACCCGCUCCAGUCAGUGGGGCGAGGUCUAUCCAGCGUAGUGGCUGGGUACUGAUGAGCAGCUAACA
This 73-nucleotide non-coding RNA is filed under the name Shewanella oncorhynchi. Lineage: Bacteria; Pseudomonadati; Pseudomonadota; Gammaproteobacteria; Alteromonadales; Shewanellaceae. The record is from RNAcentral. RNAcentral also lists the same sequence under 2 other names.